GGUGGAAUAGCUCGGUUGGUUAGAGCACCGGAUUGUGAUUCCAGGUGCCGAGAGUUCGAAUCCCCGCUGGAGCACCA
Molecule: transfer RNA, 77 nt
Filed under: Caudoviricetes sp.
Lineage: Duplodnaviria; Heunggongvirae; Uroviricota; Caudoviricetes
Description: tRNA-His
Source: RNAcentral